CAGCUUCCCUUCCCCAGAACCUUUGGUCCAUGCCAUUGUGAAACCUGACCUGCCACUGACAACAGCACUGGCGAUGCAAUAGCACCGAACAUUUGCCAAGUUUUUUUAGCCGUCUGCUCCCACUUGCUUCACACCGCGAGAACUAGUGCACAGGGAGCCUUCAUUUCUGCCCUGCGUGUGGGAAUUCCCCCUCCCCCUGCUUUGGCUUUGAAGGAAGAGAAGUGACAGCAGAAUGGAGAGCAGAGGACUUUCCCAGGGAUGAAAAUGGAGCUGCAGGCUCUGGUGCAUUACACCGUGGCCCAGUGGGGUCCACACAGCAUAGCUGAACCCAUUCCUUUCCACCCUCAGAAAUCUGGAUAAGGACUGCUAGAACUUUCAUGAAGAGUCAGAAUGAGUUACUAUAGCAGAGUUUAAAAAGCAACUGACAAAAAUUUGAAGAGGACCAAGGCAGAAGGAAAACAGAAAUUAAAACAAAGCAUCACUAUAAAGAACAUUUUUCUGCACCAGGGCAGAAGGAAAACAGAAAGAAAAAUAAAGAACCACGAUAAAGGACACUUUUCUGCAUUACUUUCUAUGUUUCCUAGAUCCAACUUAAAGUUUGCUGUGGGCCAAUAUGAAACAGGCACUCGGGCCCAGAACCUGAAAGACCCUCUGGAAGAAAUCCAGUUCCAGCUGGGUGUGGGGGACUGAGCUACCACAACUUUGAGUUACAUUGUAGAUAUACGUGCUCAGUGUAGGAUGUAUAUUGUUAUGUCAUUCUCCCCCCCCCCCCCCCCCCCCCCCUCAAACUCACACUCCUAAUUCCAAUAAAUUUGGCUUGGAGUGAAAAAACCUUGGAUUCCUCAGGAAGUAUGCUACAGGGAGCAACUGAUCCCCAAUCCUACACCACCCAGACCUACAGAGCUCUGACUGCAUGGCUGUGUGGAGAGGCUGUUGCAGGAUCCUCACUUCUACAAGGUGCUUCUGUCCCUUUCAACUCUGAUUUGCUUUGCUCUUCAUCUGACCUGAUUCACUUUCUAGAAAUAAAGUCACGUAUGUUGAGUAUGUCUGAGUAGCAUCUGCUUCCUUCUUGUUCUUAAAUAAGCUCACUUCUUAAAUAAGUUCAACUUCCUUGGGUCCAGUCCUGCAAAGACUCCUGCAUGUUUAACUUUACAUACUAUGAAGUGGACUGAGUUCAAUGGGAUAACUCACAAGGAGUAAAGUCAAGCACAUGUGUCUUUGUAGGAUCAGGGAUUUACUGAUUACAAGUGUAAUAAACCUGGGUUCAAAAGGAUAUUGUACCUAUUUUUUUCAGAGGGAUCACAUAUGCAGAAUGUACAUCAGAAGCUGAAUCACACAGCACAGACCAUAGCAGUUUGCCACUCUUCCACCUCCACUAGAAUAGCAUUGUAGCUUCAGAGUCUACCCAAGGGUGUGCAGUGGUGCUCUCUUCAGUAUCAUUUGUAAUUAUUUCUUUAUCAUUCUGAAGCUGCAAAUAUUUCAAGUAGAGAAAAAUUACAAAUAUAUAUGUAAUAUCAUUAGUUUGGUAAUAAACACACAUGGAAACAAAGGCGUAAAAAAAAAAGACAAGGGAAUACUAAACGCACAGGGCAUUGGUGUUAUAAUAUAAGCAUCCAAUAAAGCUCAGUUCAGAUGCAGCAUCUGGUUUUCAGAGAGUAUAAUUUUUUAAAUCCAUUUUUCUACUUGGCUUGAUUGAGACAUCUGUCCAAGGUCAUACAGUGAAUCAAUAGUUCAAAUAUACAAUAAAUGAGAGC
This is a long non-coding RNA of Dermochelys coriacea (leatherback sea turtle), 1754 nucleotides long. RefSeq lists it as uncharacterized. NCBI's taxonomy places the organism in Eukaryota, Metazoa, Chordata, Testudines, Dermochelyidae. The record is from RefSeq and is a predicted model, not a curated record. The transcript is spliced from 4 exons.